Molecule: ribosomal RNA, 464 nt
Filed under: uncultured bacterium
Lineage: Bacteria
Description: bacterial SSU rRNA
Rfam family: Bacterial small subunit ribosomal RNA
Source: RNAcentral
ACUCCUACGGGAGGCAGCAGUGGGGAAUAUUGGACAAUGGGGGAAACCCUGAUCCAGCCAUGCCGCGUGUGUGAAGAAGGCCUUCGGGUUGUAAAGCACUUUCAGUGGGAGAAGUUGAUGGUUAUACCUAUCAGCGUGACGUUACCCACAGAAGAAGACGGCUAACUCCGUGCCAGCAGCCGCGGUAAUACGGAGGGUGCAAGCGUUAAUCGGAAUUACUGGGCGUAAAGCGUGCGCAGGCGGUCUGUUAAGCGAGAUGUGAAAGCCCCGGGCUCAACCUGGGAACUGCAUUUCGAACUGGCAGACUAGAGUCUUGUAGAGGGGGUAGAAUUUCAGGUGUAGCGGUGAAAUGCGUAGAGAUCUGAAGGAAUACCAGUGGCGAAGGCGGCCCCCUGGACAAAGACUGACGCUCAGAUGCGAAAGCGUGGGGAGCAAACAGGAUUAGAUACCCCUUGUAGCGAGUA